CCUACGGGAGGCAGCAGUGGGGGAUUAUGGGACAUUGGGGGGACCCCUGAUCCAGCAAUGCCGCGGGUGUGAAGAAGCCCCUCGUGUUGAAAAGCACUUCCAGUGAGAAAGAACGCCUGUUGGUUAUUCCCCAUCGGGAAGGACAUAACUAAAAGAAGAAGCACCGCCUAACUCCGUGCCAGCAGCCGCGGUAAUACGGAGGGUGCGAGCGUUAAUCGGAAUUACUGGGCGUAAAGCGCGCGUAGGUGGCUUGAUAAGCCGGUUGUGAAAGCCCCGGGCUCAACCUGGGAACGGCAUCCGGAACUGUCAAGCUAGAGUGCAGGAGAGGAAGGUAGAAUUCCCGGUGUAGCGGUGAAAUGCGUAGAGAUCGGGAGGAAUACCAGUGGCGAAGGCGGCCUUCUGGACUGACACUGACACUGAGGUGCGAAAGCGUGGGUAGCAAACAGGAUUAGAUACCCUAGUAGUC
This 466-nucleotide ribosomal RNA is filed under the name Vreelandella stevensii. RNAcentral's name for it is "partial 16S ribosomal RNA". It matches the Rfam family "Bacterial small subunit ribosomal RNA", at positions 338 to 795 of the family's 1533-position model. Lineage: Bacteria; Pseudomonadati; Pseudomonadota; Gammaproteobacteria; Oceanospirillales; Halomonadaceae. The record is from RNAcentral.